GAGGCUUUCGUUUCAGCUUUGGCUAUCUAGUUUAUCUUUCUUCUCAUUGAGUUUGCAUGUCCUAAAGACUGAACUCAUGUAACUUUAUUUUAGAUGCUCCAUGUCUUAGUGUGGGAUUUAGGACAAAGAUUUAAUUCUUGAGUGAUUGUUGAAUUAUAGUUUGAUUAUGGAUUUUUGUUUGAGUUAUUAUUCGUUAUUUAUUGAUG
Molecule: long non-coding RNA, 206 nt
Filed under: Capsicum annuum
Lineage: Eukaryota; Viridiplantae; Streptophyta; Magnoliopsida; Solanales; Solanaceae
Description: long non-coding RNA (CANN_LNC002128)
Source: RNAcentral